UUUUCUUCUGGCAGGGGAUGGCAUGAGCCGGGCUCUGCGGGCACUGAGGCUGCUCUGGGCUCUGCCAGGGCUCGGCUGGGCUCUGCCCUGGGCACAGCUGGGCUGGCUCUGCCCUCACAUUGCUCUGACAGCUUUGCAUCAGACGAGCCCAUUUGAGCACAGCGCCUGAGCUUUCUGCCUUGGCAGAAGUGCCACGAGUGGGCCAAACCUGGCAAGUGAGCCGAGUUCCUAAGGCAUUGCUGUCUGGAGCUAAUGGAUGAAGAAUUGCCCUUCCCACUUCCAAACCAGAGCAAAAAGAAGUAAGUGGGAUUUUUCAUCCGUAAGAAACCCCUGACAAUUUCAGAGGGAAUGUGCAGCUCAUUCACAGAAUGAGAAGGAAGGU
Molecule: long non-coding RNA, 382 nt
Filed under: Chloebia gouldiae (Gouldian finch)
Lineage: Eukaryota; Metazoa; Chordata; Aves; Passeriformes; Passeridae
Description: Erythrura gouldiae (Gouldian finch) lncRNA (ENSEGOG00005016813.1)
Source: RNAcentral